Long non-coding RNA from Passer domesticus (house sparrow), 1921 nucleotides. RefSeq lists it as uncharacterized. Lineage: Eukaryota; Metazoa; Chordata; Aves; Passeriformes; Passeridae. The transcript has 4 exons. The record is from RefSeq and is a predicted model, not a curated record.
GGGGGGGGGGGGUGGCGGAUUCCCGGAAGAAGACCGUCUGACGAAUCAAGGGUUAGAUAGGAGGGAUCUGGGGGGACAAAUGUAAAUGUAAUACCAAUAAAAAAUGGAAUGAGAAGGGUACCUGCCAAUGAGAGAAGGGAAAGAUCAUAACUGACAGUGAAUCUCCUAGAUAAACGCAUAUAGCAAAUUAUGACAGACAGGCUGCAGGGGCAGGAUUUUGAAGGAUAGACAGGUAAGAAUCUGGAAUUAUCAUAACUGCCACGGAGAAAAGGCGGGAAGACAGGUGGAGGCAGAGACUAAACAUAUAAUCUUCAAAAUCUCACUACUACAAUCAGGGAGACUAAAUUUCAAACCCCCACUGCCACAGCCAAUGAAGUCAAGAGUUUCUCAGAAAAAUAUUUCUAAUAUUCUACAGAAAUCAGCAAGUUAUUGAUAUAUAGGAAUAUCUGAUAAACUAUAUACUGUAAAAAAUAUGCACAGAUAAUAGAGAUGCAAUUUAGGCUUCCAGGGAACAUUGUCCUAUAUCCCUUCUCUUAGAUUUAAUUGAGUUCCAAUCAUCAGAGUGCCUUGGUUUGAAAGGCAGGUGUAUGCCAAGAAAGGUGGAAACCUCCCUUGGAAUGGAGAGAAUGACCCCCCCCUCCCUCUAAUUUUUAUAACUUUGAAAUUAAGGGACAAAGAUACGGGAAAAGGAAUAACAUAUUUACUAGCAUGUAGUGUCCAGUCCAGUAGGCAGGGGGUGUGGGGCUACAGUGCAGCAGAAAGAAGUCAGAGCAGUGGCAAAGAGCGGGGGGCUGGGCAGUGGCAGCCCAGCUCCCAAACACAGCAGAGAGAGGCUCCCAUGAGUGGGGAAAGAAGAAGCUUGUGGAUGACAGUGUUUCCCUUGAGGCACCCGAGCAGAUGGAGAAGGAUCCCCUAUUUGGUGAGGCAGGGUGAUUACAAGGUCCUAGUACAAUGGCCGCUCUUACCAACAGAGCUACACUCAAGGUAGAAGAAAGGCAGCUGCAGACAGAAUCCCACAGUGGUGGUGAAUUCUCCCUACAGUGUCAUAGCCUCUCUCCCCUCCCAAUGCCAGGAGCUAGGCAAGAGUGCUAGGAGCUGCACCCAACCCCUCUCGCCCAGCACAAUUCUCACCUACCUCUGCCCUUCCCAGAGCAAUCUAAUCCCCAGGUUAAAAAAAAAAAAAAAGAGUAGCUGGACCUCACCCCUGAGCUGUGACCACUUCUCUUGUCUCUCAUAAGUACCCAGUUGUUACUGUCACCUAGCAACACAUAUGGGAGAAAACUUCAUGACAGAAAGAAACAAAAGGAAGAAUCUUAAACUCCAACACAGGGCUCUCCUCUUGUAGGCUUCAUGAGAAUUCUAUUCUGAUGAAUAUUCUGUUGGGAAGAAAACUUUUCAUUUGAUCACAUUACAGGUUUUUUCAUUACUGGAUCUGAUGGUCACCAGAAUGAGUUGAUUGGAGACAGCCUGGCCUGCAAUGACCAUGUACUUUGGAGUUUUCAGUUCUGAGGAAUAUGUAUCAGACAAGCUGAGUUGGGAUUGUUCAGCCUGAAAAAAGUAACCUAUGGAGACUUUAUUGCAGUGUUCCAAUAGGUGGAUAAAAUUGGCUAUCAGAGAGAAAGGAUAAGAGAAAGUGAUAAACUUUACCGAUGUAAGGGCAUGCAUUUCCAUGACUAUGAAUAAAAGGUGGAAAUGGCAGGAAGGGCAACAGUUUGCUAAAUCUUGAGCUGGAAGAUGAGAAGAUCUUGUGUGGUGAAGAAUAACCUUGGGAGAUAGGGGGAUAACAUGCUGAAUAUAGAGGAGAACAUUCGUAAAAUAUCUUUUGCAUUAUAAAUAAAGCCUGGAGGCUGUUGAAUGAAUGUCAAACUCAAUAUCUCUUCAAAGUGCUAGUUGUGCAGUAUUUCCCCUUUGAAUCGAAUGA